GUUUCCCCGGCUGGAGAGAGGCCUGCCUUGGCUUGGCAGGCCCACCGAAGGAGCAAGCCCCGCAACGCACCGCCACCAGGCAGCGCGCACGGCGUGGUGAAUCUCUCAGGUAAAGCGGACAGCGGGCACAGG
This 132-nucleotide non-coding RNA is filed under the name Oryza sativa (Asian cultivated rice). RNAcentral describes it as "Glycine sequence". It matches the Rfam family "Glycine riboswitch aptamer". Rfam says of the family: This family represents the bacterial glycine riboswitch. Glycine riboswitches usually consist of two metabolite-binding aptamers domains with similar structures in tandem. The aptamers cooperatively bind glycine to regulate the expression of downstream genes. RNAcentral also lists the same sequence under 1 other name. Lineage: Eukaryota; Viridiplantae; Streptophyta; Magnoliopsida; Poales; Poaceae. The record is from RNAcentral.